UUGCAAUGAUGACCAUCUUAGGACACCUUUAGAAAUAAGCAUGAAAACAACCCGAUCAAUCUGAGCAAC
This is a small nucleolar RNA of Ictalurus punctatus (channel catfish), 69 nucleotides long. Its record names the gene SNORD58. It matches the Rfam family "Small nucleolar RNA SNORD58". From Rfam's summary of the family: snoRNA U58 is found in introns 1, 3 and 6 of the ribosomal protein RPL17 gene in humans. U58 is a member of the C/D class of snoRNA which contain C (UGAUGA) and D (CUGA) box motifs. The record is from Ensembl. Lineage: Eukaryota; Metazoa; Chordata; Actinopteri; Siluriformes; Ictaluridae.